GGUUACCUUGUUACGACUUAGCCCUAGUUACCAGUUUUACCCUAGGCGGCUCCUUACGGUUACCGACUUCAGGUACUCCCAGCUUCCAUGGCUUGACGGGCGGUGUGUACAAGGCCCGGGAACGUAUUCACCGCGCCAUGGCUGAUGCGCGAUCACUACCGAUUCCAGCUUCACGGAGUCUAGUUGCACACUCCGAUCCGAACUGAGAUAGAGUGGUAGGAUUCGCUCCCUGUCGCCAGGUGGCUGCCCUCUGUCUCUGACAUUGUAGCACGGUGUGUAUCCCAAGACGU
Molecule: ribosomal RNA, 290 nt
Filed under: uncultured alpha proteobacterium DCM-FREE-30
Lineage: Bacteria; Pseudomonadati; Pseudomonadota; Alphaproteobacteria
Description: partial 16S ribosomal RNA
Source: RNAcentral